CUAUACUAUAGACGUUUAUGGUACAAUGAAUGAGCCGAUACUUGCGUAGGGCUGUAUAGAAUAGCGCUACCUGUCCUCAACUGCAAAAUCUCUCAAAUGGUUGAAUGUUACCUUGCUAAGCAGACAACGCUAUUGUGGAAAUGUAUACUUAAGAUAGGUCACAUGAAUGUUAUUCGAGAAUACUUGUAGAACCGGCUGUCACCCACAAUAGCUAGAAAUACAGGUUAAACGAGUUUUUGAAAUAGGAAAAAGAAGAAUGAAUUUUAAUGCUAAUUCGAGUAGUUCAAGCUGUAAGAAAGUGAGAGUAUUAAAAGAGGCUGAAAAAGAUGACUCUAACAAGGAAUCUAUUGAGCCGACCCAAACUGCAGAUGGCCCACCUGAUGAUGUACAGGCGUAUUUCGGACACCCCUUAACCUUGGCUACAGACGUGGUACACGGGGAUGGAAACUCAAAAGCGUCCGGUGCUGCUCUGUUACACGAAUAUAUUAAUCUUCCAGCAAUAGACCAUCAUGAAAAAACACCAGAAUCUUUGCAGUGCUCCAGGGAAAGUGCAAGUUCCACUUCAAUGCCAUUUGAUACAGGAAUGUGGCCUGAAUUAGAAAAUAUAACAGGAAAGGUCAUUUAAGAACAAGUUCAUUUAGAACUUAUUAGUGAUUUAUUCAGCAUAAAAGGUGCAUCAGUGAAACUAACAUUACAAUAUUACAAUUGAUUGAUAGAUAACACUUAAGUCAGAAUCACUAACAUAAAAACAAAAUUUGUGGUGGAAAGGCCACUCAACAGGCAUCGCUACAUCGUGUUUGAGAAGACAUAUUGUGGCCAAAGGAAAUAUGUAAAAAUCUUGGGAAACUGAAGGACAAAUCAAUUACAGAUCUUCAUUGUCAUCGGAAGUGACGUAAUAUUGGCAAAAGCUGUAUUUUUAACUUGAGUCACUGCCGAUAAAUGAUCAAUUAUUCAGGGGAGUAACUUUAUACGUUUUGUCAAUAACAAAAUUAUUGAUGUUUCGAUUUCAAUAAAUUUUUCACCAUUUGAUGCCUAAUGCAAUUAAUCUAAUAGUGCCAUCAUUAAACGGUUGAUGGAAAACGGUUUCAUUGGUACGGGAAGUGGCGCCAGUUAUUGGGUAAAGGACACAGGUGAAAUCCGCCAUCACUGUAUCGCAGUUACAGUUAUUUUUUGUAUUG
This is a long non-coding RNA of Patella vulgata (common limpet), 1178 nucleotides long. RefSeq lists it as uncharacterized. The record is from RefSeq and is a predicted model, not a curated record. NCBI's taxonomy places the organism in Eukaryota, Metazoa, Mollusca, Gastropoda, Patellidae. The transcript has 3 exons.